GCAGGAUUAGUGUUAGUGGUUAGCACGACGGUCUUCCCCUUUAAUAGUUUAAUGAAAAACCAUUGAUGUAAGUUCAAGUCUUACUUAAAGGACCAAAACCGUAAGGGCGAGUUCGAAUCUCGUAUCUUGCUCCA
RNAcentral lists this transfer RNA (134 nucleotides) under Bacteriophage sp. Its description in RNAcentral is "tRNA-Gly". The stretch from base 38 to 92 matches the Rfam family "tRNA". The record is from RNAcentral.